GGGUCGUAAACUUCUUUUAUAUAAGAAUAAAGUGCAGUAUGUAUACUGUUUUGUAUGUAUUAUAUGAAUAAGGAUCGGCUAACUCCGUGCCAGCAGCCGCGGUAAUACGGAGGAUCCGAGCGUUAUCCGGAUUUAUUGGGUUUAAAGGGAGCGUAGGUGGACUGGUAAGUCAGUUGUGAAAGUUUGCGGCUCAACCGUAAAAUUGCAGUUGAUACUGUCAGUCUUGAGUACAGUGGAGGUGGGCGGAAUUCGUGGUGUAGCGGUGAAAUGCUUAGAUAUCACGAAGAACUCCGAUUGCGAAGGCAGCUCACUGGACUGCAACUGACACUGAUGCUCGAAAGUGUGGGUAUCAAACAGGAUUAGAUACCCUGGUAGUCCACACAGUAAACGAUGAAUACUCGCUGUUUGCGAUAUACAGUAAGCGGCCAAGCGAAAGCAUUAAGUAUUCCACCUGGGGAGUA
Molecule: ribosomal RNA, 461 nt
Filed under: uncultured bacterium
Lineage: Bacteria
Description: bacterial SSU rRNA
Rfam family: Bacterial small subunit ribosomal RNA
Source: RNAcentral